AGGCCAUGAUGGGGACACUUACGUAAUAGCUCCUUGAACCUUUCCCAUGUUUCAUAUAAGGAUUCCCCGUCCUCUUGUGAGUAUGUAUUAAUUUCAGCCAUUAAUUU
RNAcentral lists this small nucleolar RNA (107 nucleotides) under Helianthus annuus (common sunflower). RNAcentral's name for it is "Plant small nucleolar RNA R71". It matches the Rfam family "Plant small nucleolar RNA R71". From Rfam's summary of the family: R71 is a member of the C/D box family of snoRNAs containing the C (UGAUGA) and D (CUGA) box motifs. Multiple nearly identical copies of this snoRNA have been identified in Arabidopsis, and it is thought to function as a 2'-O-ribose methylation guide for 18S ribosomal RNA. The record is from RNAcentral. Lineage: Eukaryota; Viridiplantae; Streptophyta; Magnoliopsida; Asterales; Asteraceae.